UACGGAGGGUGCAAGCGUUAAUCGGAAUUACUGGGCGUAAAGGGUGCGUAGGUGGUUGAUUAAGUUAUCUGUGAAAUCCCUGGGCUUAACCUGGGCAGGUCAGAUAAGACUGGUUGACUCGAGUAUGGGAGAGGGUAGUGGAAUUUCCGGUGUAGCGGUGAAAUGCGUAGAGAUCGGAAGGAACACCAGUGGCGAAGGCGGCUACCUGGCCCAAUACUGACACUGAGGCACGAAAGCGUGGGGAGCAAACAGGAUUAGAUACCCUGGUAGUCCACGCUGUAAACGAUGUCAACUAGCUGUUGGGUAUAUGAAUGUACUUAGUGGCGAAGCUAACGCGAUAAGUUGACCGCCUGGGGAGUACGGUCGCAAGAUUA
RNAcentral lists this ribosomal RNA (374 nucleotides) under uncultured prokaryote. Its description in RNAcentral is "bacterial SSU rRNA". It matches the Rfam family "Bacterial small subunit ribosomal RNA", at positions 524 to 896 of the family's 1533-position model. The record is from RNAcentral.